Pezoporus occidentalis (night parrot) is the source of this 917-nucleotide long non-coding RNA. RefSeq lists it as uncharacterized. Lineage: Eukaryota; Metazoa; Chordata; Aves; Psittaciformes; Psittacidae. The transcript has 3 exons. The record is from RefSeq and is a predicted model, not a curated record.
GUGUAUUUUAGAUUGAAAGUGUUCACAAAACCAAAGUGAUCUAAAUUGCAACUAUCAUAGUUGUUCACAAGAUUUUAUAGAAGGGGCAAACCUAUUACUAAAAAGUAUGAACACCCCCACCUUCCACCCCUUGUUUACUAUCUUUGCACUUCUUAUAGGAAACUGAUUAGUAUACCUUUUAUUGCUAGGAAGUGAAUCAAGCCCUUGUUUAAUUCACGUAGGGAUCGGAAUACUGCCACUGCAGUGUUAUCUAUCAAAUUUCAAUGGAACAGCUAUUGAGUAUAUAUAAACUGUCCAGGUAACCCUUAGUUUAGGCAUUCUGGUUUUUAUAGUAUUUUUCAUUGGUAGCUGACUUGUUAAAGCCUAAAGGGAAGCUCUGCAUGUUGCAAUAGAGACAGCAUUCAAAAAUACUUCCAGUCAAGAAUAAUGUAAAAAGAGGGUAAGGGAAAGAUAAUAUACAUUAUUGUUAAUGUAAAAAACUUACUGUCUUUAGAGAAAGGAAGACAUAAUGUAUAUACAAGUUGUGGCUUAAACUCUCAUUUAUUGCUUUGAUUUCUACAUUAAAAUCAAGGACAUAUCUAAGUACUGCUUUUACUGAAACUUAGGGGUAUCAUGUUAGAGGCUGAGAAUAUUGUCUAGAGCUGCAGUAUAAAUGUGCUGCAUUCACAGCAAUUACAAAACUGUAAUGCUUUUCCUUCUAGCAUGGAGUGAUCCUGGAGAUGCACUUUCUCCAUUUUUAACACAGCUUAUAUUUUCUUUUGAUUCCUGUAAUAGGAAACACAGCAAUGAUGUUUAUCUCCUGAACAUGACAUAGCAAAUGAUGAAUAUGGAAACAGAAAACUUACAAGAACCUCGAUUGCAAACUUCCAUGGUUCCUGAGAAGAUGAACAUUUUUAAUCAGAAGGGAAUUAGCAGAU